AUUGCCUCAGUAACGGCGAGUGAAGCGGCAACAGCUCAAAUUUGAAAUCUGGCUUCUUCGGAGCCCGAAUUGUAAUUUGUAGAGGAUGCUUCGGGUUUGGCCCCGGCCUAAGUUCCUUGGAACAGGACGUCACAGAGGGUGAGAAUCCCGUAUGUGGCUGGAGGUCUAUGCCCAUGUGAAGCUCCUUCGACGAGUCGAGUUGUUUGGGAAUGCAGCUCAAAAUGGGUGGUAAAUUUCAUCUAAAGCUAAAUACCGGCGGGAGACCGAUAGCGCACAAGUAGAGUGAUCGAAAGAUGAAAAGCACUUUGGAAAGAGAGUUAAAAAGUACGUGAAAUUGUUGAAAGGGAAGCGCUUGCGACCAGACUUGCCUGCAGUUGAUCAACUGGUGUUCUCACCGGUGCACUCUGCUGCAGUCAGGCCAGCAUCGGUUUGGGCGGCUGGAGAAAGGCCCUGGGAAUGUGGCUCUCUUCGGGGAGUGUUAUAACCCAGGGUGUCAUGCAGCCAGCCUGGACCGAGGACCGCGCUUCGGCUAGGAUGCUGGCGUAAUGGUCGUAAGCGACCCGUCUUGAAACACGGACCAAGGAGUCUAACAACUAUGCGAGUGUUUGGGUGUUAAACCCAUGCGCGUAAUGAAAGUGAACGGAGGUGGGAACCCUUAAGGGUGCACCAUCGACCGAUCCUGAUGUCUUCGGAUGGAUUUGAGUAAGAGCAUAGCUGUUGGGACCCGAAAGAUGGUGAACUAUGCCUGAAUAGGGUGAAGCCAGAGGAAACUCUGGUGGAGGCUCGCAGCGGUUCUGACGUGCAAAUCGAUCGUCAAAUUUGGGUAUAGGGGCGAAAGACUAAUCGAACCAUUGUCUACUAGGUGGUUAAGAGGCAGAUAAAAGGUCUGUCUAGUCCCUGUUCACGGGGCAACACUGUCAAAUUGCGGGGACACCCUUAGAGCUCAAACAACCGCAGCUUAGCUGAAAGGCAAGUGCGCACCAGGGUAAUGACCUCGGGUAUGGUAACAUAGUUUGAGAUUGGGCAAUCUGCAGCGAAGUCCUAAAGGCCAAUAGGCUCAUGGGCGAAGUUCACAGACUAAAUGGCAGUGGGUGGUGACUAAUGUCGCUGCUUAAGAUAUAGUCGGGCCCCCAGGAGACUGGGCAGUGAGAUGAAGCGCUUUGGGAGUGAGCACUGUAUUUGCAGUUCUCAUGGUGCCUGAGCUCACUGGAGAGUAGUAAUACU
This 1224-nucleotide ribosomal RNA is filed under the name Sarcoleotia motuoensis. Its description in RNAcentral is "partial large subunit ribosomal RNA". It matches the Rfam family "Eukaryotic large subunit ribosomal RNA", at positions 74 to 1467 of the family's 3401-position model. The record is from RNAcentral. Lineage: Eukaryota; Fungi; Ascomycota; Geoglossomycetes; Geoglossales; Geoglossaceae.